RNAcentral lists this long non-coding RNA (498 nucleotides) under Lupinus mutabilis. Its description in RNAcentral is "partial ncRNA". The record is from RNAcentral. Lineage: Eukaryota; Viridiplantae; Streptophyta; Magnoliopsida; Fabales; Fabaceae.
UUAUAUUCCCAAUCCAAAGUUAUCAACAAACUAUGAAAAUGACUCGUUUUAUGUCUACUGAUAAAUUAACUCUUAUCUCCAUUGUUCUUGUGGUGCUCAUUGGACUAGCUUAUUGUGGCGAUGAAAAGGAUGGAACAGGUUCAGGAACUCGUGCACCUAGAAGAAAACGGUUCACUCGUUCACAUGACCUAAUUUCACUUCAUGAGGAGGCAAUCAAGGAACACGAACACCAUAUUGGUACUACAAAGAAGAGCGAUCGUGGUAAACGAAGAAGUGAACCAAUGACCACUGUUCAUCCACAUGAAGGCAUGGACCACGGUGGACAUUCAACUCAUCGUCCAAUAAUAUUAAACUAAUAUUUUUCUUGACACACUAAGCAUGGCUAUGGUUAGAUCAUGAUUGCUUAGUUAAACUAACAUUUGAAUUCCUUCCUCCUCCAGCUACCCAGAAGUUUAAUAUAAAAUUAUAUUAAUAUUACAUUAAUCAACAGUCAAUAAA